Molecule: small RNA, 1170 nt
Filed under: Pan troglodytes (chimpanzee)
Lineage: Eukaryota; Metazoa; Chordata; Mammalia; Primates; Hominidae
Description: retained intron
Source: RNAcentral
AUCCCUGCCCGGCGCUGCCCGCCCAGUUCCUGUUCCCAGACUGAGGCCCAGCCCCCUUCGCCCGUUUCCAUCACGAGUGCCGCCAGCAUGUCUGACAAACUGCCCUACAAAGUCGCCGACAUCGGCCUGGCUGCCUGGGGACGCAAGGCCCUGGACAUUGCUGAGAACGAGAUGCCGGGCUUGAUGCGUAUGCGGGAGCGGUACUCGGCCUCCAAGCCACUGAAGGGCGCCCGCAUCGCUGGCUGCCUGCACAUGACCGUGGAGACGGCCGUCCUCAUUGAGACCCUCGUCACCCUGGGUGCUGAGGUGAGGCCCACAGCUGUAUCACCCCAGAGUCCUUGCCCUCCCUGGGUUCAGCCAGGGAAGAAGACGACUGUGCCAGGGUGGGGACCUUCCAAGUGUGGAGCUGACCGCGGGCCUGGAGGGGCUCCUCCCUCUCACUCGGUUUCCUCCGUUUCCCAGUGCUGCCACCCCUUGUGGUGCAGUGGUCCAGCUGCAACAUCUUCUCCACCCAGGACCAUGCGGCGGCUGCCAUUGCCAAGGCUGGCAUUCCGGGUAAGUCCUGCUUGCUUCUGAGACAUGUGGAAUUUGUGAAGGGAUUCUGCCCUCUUUGCUUCACUGACUGCUAGAGCAACAGACUUCCUUACAUAUCAGAAAGGGAGAGGAGUCACCGCCACAAAAUCCUAGCCCAGCGACUCCACAGGAAAGAGCUGCUUUGUCCCAUCAUCAUCUAAAAUCCUGUGGAAGUUGUUUAUUGACCCAGGUCAAGCCGUGUAACCAGGAAGAGCAAGAUCUUAUGAUUGGGAACUACAUGAUGAAGCGGAGGGGAAGUUCAUUAAAGGAAGGAUGUGGAUCUCUUUCCAAAGAACUGGGGAGGGCUACGGGACAGAAAAAGAGGUUCACUGCCUAGGGUAUGGCGGUCUAAAGGACUGAGGAAGGACCAAGACUAACGAGAAUGGAGUUUUCACAGGCUGGGCACAUGUCUGCUUGGACUUGGGGAGGGGAGUGGUUAGAUCUGACCCAGUGAUUAGGACAUUCAAGAUUGCUUCUAACCAACCACAGGUGGACAGGAGGGGGUGGCACAGCACUCCUUCACAGACUGACCAGGACUGAAUGGGCAUGAUCCCCAUUCCUCAGCCUUGGCACCGUGGCUUUCUUCUUUUUUUUUUC